CCUACGGGGGGCAGCAGUGGGGAAUAUUGGACAAUGGGGGGAACCCUGAUCCAGCCAUGCCGCGUGUGUGAAGAAGGCCCUCGGGUUGUAAAGCACUUUCAGUGAUGAAGAACGCCUGGUGGUUAAUACCCAUCAGGAAAGACAUCACUCACAGAAGAAGCACCGGCUAACUCCGUGCCAGCAGCCGCGGUAAUACGGAGGGUGCGAGCGUUAAUCGGAAUUACUGGGCGUAAAGCGCGCGUAGGUGGCUUGAUAAGCCGGUUGUGAAAGCCCCGGGCUCAACCUGGGAACGGCAUCCGGAACUGUCAAGCUAGUGUGCAGGAGAGGAAGGUAGAAUUCCCGGUGUAGCGGUGAAAUGCGUAGAGAUCGGGAGGAAUACCAGUGGCGAAGGCGGCCUUCUGGACUGACACUGACACUGAGGUGCGAAAGCGUGGGUAGCAAACAGGAUUAGAUACCCUUGUAGUC
Molecule: ribosomal RNA, 465 nt
Filed under: Vreelandella stevensii
Lineage: Bacteria; Pseudomonadati; Pseudomonadota; Gammaproteobacteria; Oceanospirillales; Halomonadaceae
Description: partial 16S ribosomal RNA
Rfam family: Bacterial small subunit ribosomal RNA
Source: RNAcentral